Molecule: long non-coding RNA, 6450 nt
Filed under: Homo sapiens (human)
Lineage: Eukaryota; Metazoa; Chordata; Mammalia; Primates; Hominidae
Description: HSALNT0191191
Source: RNAcentral
UUACUCAAAGGUCUUACCCUGAUUAUCCCGGAGACCUAGAAUAAUUGUGCUAUAAAUUCUCAAUCAUGACGCCGGGCGCAGUGGCUCACCCUAAUGAUUUAUUUUUGUAGUGGUGUGCUUUGAUUUCGUCUUCUUUAUCUUUUAUUUACUACAGACUUUUCUUGUGUGUGGUUACCAUAAGGCUUACAUAAAACAUCUUAUAACAGUCUAUUUGGAUCUAAUAACAACUUAACUUCAACCACAUACAAAACUCUACACUUUUAACUUCUCCUCCUCUCACAUUUUAUGUACUGGUGUCACAAUUUGCAUGUUUUAUAUAAUGUGUAUCCACUAACAAAUUAUUGUUGCCAUAUUUAUUUUUAACACUCACGACUUUUAACUUUUUACUAGAGUUAUUUAUGUACUAUCAUUACCAUCAUUAGUAUUAGAGUAUUCUGAAUUUGACUGUAUUCUUACCUUUACAGUUUUAUACUUCUAUGUUUUUAUAUUAUGUCAUUUUUAAAAAUUUUUCACAGCUUCAGCUUCUAGAAAGUUAGUGUCAUUUUGUUUCAACUUGAACUCCCUUUACAGUUUUUGUAAGGUAUGUCUAGUGGUGAUGAACUCCCACAGCUUUUGUUUGUCUGAGAAAGUCUUUAUCGCUCCUUCAUUUCUGAAGGAAAGAUUUACCAGGGGUAGCAUUCUUGGUUUUCAGGUUUUUUUUUUUCUUUCAGCACUUUAAAUAUGUCAUUCCACUCUCUCAAGAUCUGCAAGGUUUCUGCUGAGAAAUUCACUGACCAUCUCAUAUGGGUUCCAUUGCAUGUGACGUGUCUUUCCUCGCUGCUUUCAAAAUAAUCUUUGUCUUUGGCUUUUGAGAAUUUGAUUAUAAUGUGUCUUGGGGUAGAUCUCUUUAUAUUUAAUAUAUUUGGGGUUCUUCGAGCUUCAUGAAUCUGGACAUUCAUUUCCCUCUCCAGAUUUGGGAAGUUUUCUGCUACUAUUUCUUAAAAUAAGCUUUCUCCCCUUUUCUUUUUCUACUCCUUCCAGAAAACUUACACACAAAUAUUGUUUUACAUGAUGGUGUUCUCUAAGUCCCAUAGGCUUUCUUCACUCUUUAUCAUUCUUUUUCCUCUGCUCUAAUUUCAAAUGACCUGUUUUCAGUCUCACUGGUUCUUUCUUCUGACUGAUCAAAUCUGUUGUUAAAUCUAUCUAUGGAAUUUUUCAGUUCAAGCAUUGUGUUCUUCAGCUCCAGAAUUUUUAAAUGCCUUCUCUUUGUUGAACUCAUUUCCUUAUGUAUUGUUUUCCUGAUAAUUGUUUAGUUGUCUAGCUGUGUUCUCUGGGAGCUUACUAAGUUUCUUGAAGACAAUUAUUUUCAAUUCUUUGUCAGGCAGUUUUAUUUGUAAUCCUUGUGGUGUUGUGUUGGUGUUUGUCUAUUUGGAGAAGUAGGAACCUCUUAACCAGGCACAGAAGUCCCAGCUACUCAGGAGGCUAAGGCAGGAGGAUCACCUGAGCCCAGGAGUUUGGGGCAGCAGUGUGCUAUGAUUGUGCCUAUGAAUAUCCACUAUACUCCAGCCUGGCAACAUAGUAAGACUCUGUCUCUAAAAAAUAAAAUAUAAUUUUUAAAAAGAAGCAGGCAGCUUUUCCCAUCUUUACAGACUGGCUUUGGCAGGGAAAGUCCUUUACCAGUCAGACCAUCCAGAGAUUCUUGGUGAGCCAUUUAGUGGGGUCUGCUUGCAAGCUUGCUGUUGGAAUCCUCAGGCAGGCUGGUCUGGUGGCUAGGUCCACUUGGCUGAGUCUGGCUCAUGGGUCCAGUGGGGCAGGCGUUGAACCCGAAUCUAGGUGGUUAGGCUUGGAUCUUGGGUUCACAGAGGCCAGCCUAGUGCUGGACUCCACUGGGUUGGGCCUAGAGAUUGGGCCUGCAUGGGUAGGCAUGCAUAGGUAGGCUGAAACCUGUGUCUACAGGGGCCAGCCUAAAGCCCGAGUCCAUGAGGGAAAACCUGUUGCUAGGGGAGGCCUGGUGCCUGGGUCCAUGGAGAUGGGCCUGGUCCUGAGUUUACAGGAGCUGACCUAGCACCAGGGUUCAGUGGGGUGCCCUGGCACCUGGGUCCAUGGUAGUGGGCCUGGAGGCUGAGUCCAUGCGGGCAGGCUUUGGUCUUGGGUUGAUGGGGUCCAGUCUGGAGCUUGGGUCUUUGAGGGCUGGACUAGUAUCAAAUUCUACUGGGGUGGGCCUGGAACCUAGAUAUUCUGGAGCAUAGGGCCACAGGGGGCAGUCUGGAGCCUGGGACCAUGGGAGCUGGCUUGGUGCUAGGAUGGGACUAGAGCCUGAGUCUGCAGGGGGUGGGUUGGUGCAGUGGUAGGGCAUUUUCACCCACUAAUAUUUUAACAAGAAUUAACACAUUACAUCAUCAACAUAGGUUAUUUAGCAAGAGCCUAGGGCAAUAGGACAGAAGACUUGGCAGGUUUGUUGGACAAAGUAUAACAUGGUCAUCAAAAAUAAGGACUCUGGAAAGAAAUGAGACACCAAAGCGAAUAUACUAUAUAAUUCCACUUCUAGGAAGUUCAAAAAUAAACAAAGUUAAUCCAUAGUGAGAGAUAGCAGAAUGUUGUUUACCUUUGGAGGCCUGGAGCUUGUGUCCAAGGGGCUGGCCUAGAACCUAAGGCUGCAAGGUCAAGCCUGUCUCUCGGUUGGGCCUGGAGCCUGUGACCACAUGAGCUGGUCUGGAGACUGGGACAGUUGGCCUGGAGACUCCUGGUGCUGGGGUGGUCCUAGAGUCUGGGCUUACUGGGGUAGGCCUGCUGCCAGGGUCUGAAGUGAAGGUGAGAGCUCACUUCACACUGCUUUUCCCACAUGAAGGGUAUUUAUCUGCAUGAUGUGUUGCCCAGGCUUGUGAAAACAGUGACAUGGUGUCUUUAGUCUGUUUUGUGCUGCUAUAACAAAAUAUCUGAGAGACUGGAUAAUUUAUAAAUAGCAAAUUUAUUUUCUCAUCAUUCUGGAGGCUAAGAAGUCCAAAAUCAAGGCCCUGAUAGGUUUGGUUGUUUGGUGAGGGAUGCUCUCUGCUUUCAAGAUGGCAUCUUAUUGUUGCAUCUUCUGGAGGGGAGUAAUACUAGGUCUUCACAUGGCAAAAGGUGGAAAGGCAAUGAGGUGAACACUACACAAAGCCCCUUUUAUAAAGGCCUUAAUCAUGAGAGAAGGAGAGCUCAUGACCUCUUAAAGGCCCCAUCUCUUAAUACCAUCAUAUUGGUCAUUAAGUUUCAGCACAUGAAGUUUGGAGAGGACACAUUCAAACCAUAGCACACAGGUAAUGUAAAACUGUCUUUCCUGUCGUCAUGAAUACAUGUUUUCUUAUUUCCAUGCUACAUCCAGGUGCUAUAAUCCCUCACUUGAAUUUCUUAGUUCUUGUAAAGGUAUUUUUUUAGUGUGGAUAGAUGUUUAAAUUUAUGUUUCUGUGAGAUGAGUACUAGGAACUUCUGUUCCACUAUUUUGCUGAUGUCAUUCUUCAACAAGUUCCUUGUUCUAAUCUCUGAACAUAAUUGUUUUGUUUGUCAAACAUUGUCUGACUUAAUUUACCAGUAGAUGGCAGUCCAAAGUAAAGCGGAACAUAUUAUUACUACCCAUCCUCCUACCCAGCGUGCCUCCCCACCCCACGCCAAUUUUUUUAAAUUGGCUAUAAAUUAGUAAGUGGUUAUCAGCAGGGCACGGUGGCUCACGCCUGUAAUCCCAGCACUUAGGGAGGCCGAGGCAGGCAGAUCAUCUGAGGUCGGGAGUUCGAGACCAGCCUGACCAACAUGGAGAAAUCCCAUAUCUACUAAAAAUACAAAAUUAGCCGGGCAUGGUGGCGCAUGCUUGUAAUCCCAGCUACUCAGGAAGGCUGAGGCAGGAGAAUCACUUGAACCCGGGAGGGGGAGGUUGCAGUAAGCCAAGAUUGCGCCACUGUACUACAGCCUGGGCAACAAGAGCGAAACUCGGUCUCAAAAUAAUAAUAAUAAUAAUAAUUGGUUAUCAGUAUGAAGUCUUUCACAUUUUUCUAAUAAAUUCUUCACACUCUUACCUGACAAUUAAAUAAUUCUUGUUACAGGAGAAUCCCUAGGCAAAUUCACGUGUGACAUGCAAGAAACUCUAAGGAAAAGGGUAAAAGUAAAAAAAUUAUGUCUUGCUUUCCAACAAAAUUUAUCACUGAGAAGAGGUGAAAUGUAAAAGCAAAAGGAAAUGGGAAAGAAAAUUGCUCUUGUAUUUUUCCAAAUCCAUUCAUUUAGAGUUCUGACAAACUUGAACUGAGUGACUGGAAGCCUGGGUUAUUAAAUUAGAAGUUCUUCAAAAACAAUGUCAUUAAGACUUUCUAUUGCAUCAGGUGGUUACAGUAUUCAAUUUUUCAUAUAUCUAAUAUUGUAUUAACUAUUUUAUGACAGUGAUAUGUGUAUAUAUAUAAAGCUUCAUAUAUGAGACUUUAUAAAGCACAUUAAUAUAAACUAGCUUAUUUCAUAUUUAAUCUUCACACCAAUCCUGUCAGGCAGGGUAAAUGUUUUUAUGCAUAUACUGAAGUUGACUCAGAAAGAUUAGGUGAUUUAAGCGAGGUAAUUAGCUGGUAAGCUGCAGAGCAGUGACUAGAACCCAAAACUUUUGACAACUUCAAUGUUCAUUUUUCUAUAUGACAUUAACAUUUCUUUUUAUACAUCUAAGAUUUCUUCUGUGGUAUUUCAAUUUCAGUUAUAGAUACAACAUUUACAUUUUAGAAAUAAAUUUUAAAGGUCCACAAUUAGUGUACCAGUGCUAUGAUUUGAAUAUUUGUGUCCCCUCCAAAAUUCAUGUUGAAACUCAAUCCCCAAUGCAAGAGUACUAAGAGAGAGAUGAUUAAGUCAUGAGGGCUCUGACCUCAUAAAUGGGAUUAGCACCCUUAUAAAAGGGCUCAAAGGUUGAAGGGAGCUCUCUCUUGCCUUUCUGCUCUUUUGCCAUGUGAGGAAAAAACAUUUGUUCCCUUUUUGCCCUUCUACCAUGUAAGGACACCUAGAUGGCACCAUCUAUGGAAAAUGGGGCUUUACCAGUCAUCAGACUUGCUGGUGCCUUGAUCUGUGACUUCUGAGCCUCCAGAACUAAGAGAAAUAAAUGUCUAUUGUUUAUAAAUUACUAAGUCUCAGGUAUUUAGUUACAGCAGGAGAAAUGGACCAGGACACUCCCCUCUCCCAAUACCAUAAAACUCAUACAGCCUUUCUUUGCCCAGAAGUAUUUACAUACUUUCAGUUUCCCCCUUUUUUUCAGCUUUUGCUUUCCUUCUAUGCAUUCAUUUAUGAGCAUCUUUCCUAAAGUUAACAAACCAUAUAAAACUGGAACUAGCUAGGCCCCUUUUGCCUAAAAGUCUCUCAGACUCUACUUAGAAUUUUCAUAAUAGUCAUUCUUCUCAGCUUAAGGUCAGUUAUGAUACUAAUAAGUUAUCCCCCCAAAAAAGUAACUUAAACAAUUUUCACCCACUAAUAUUUUAGCAAGAAUUAGCAUAUUACAUCAUCAACAUAGGUUACUUAGCAAGAGCCUAGGAAAAUAGGACAGAGGACUUGGCAGUUUUGUUGGACAAAGUAUAACAUGGUCAUUAAAAAUAAGGACUCUGGAAAGAAAUGAGACACUGAAGAAAAUAUACUAUAUGAUUCUACUUCUAGAAAGUUCAAAAAUAAAGUUAAUUCAUGGUGAUAUAUAACAGAAUGUUGUUUAUCUUUGGAGGAUUAUCUACUGUUAAGGGGGGUGAUUAAGGAGUCUUUCCAUCAGGGAAUGUUCUGGGUGAUGAUAAUUACACAGGUAUAGAACAUAUCAGAGUUCAUCAUACUAAAUAUUUAGGAGUUGUGCAUCUUAAAUCAUGUAAGUUAUACCUUGGUUUUACAUCGAAUUUUUUUAAAAGUAGAAGCUUUGAAGUCAGACAGAUCCAACCAACCCAGGGUCUGCCAUUUAUUAGUAUUAUGAUCCCACAUAUGUCACUUAACCUCUCUAAGCCAUAGAAAUAUCCUCUGGAAUAUGAGGAUGAUAAUAGUAUCUACCUCAUAUGGUUGUUGUUUGAAUUAAAAGAGCUGGCACACUUAGUGCUCAAUACAUUUAGCAAUCUGUACUACUAUCAUUAUAAAGGAAAAGAGGAAAAGUAGGAGACAAAAAAGAAAAGCUAAAUUUCACAUAUGAGACUGGAUUCCAUGGGAUAUCACAAAAAAGGACACCUUGGAAGCUUGUGGGAAGAAUGAAAGCACACUGCAUAAGGUUGAGAAUAGAGUCAGUAUAACCUGAUGGUUUAAAUUACAGGCUCCUGAAGCUAGGUUACCUGAGCUUGAAUCUAGGCUCUGCUACUUACUAGGUCUAAGUUCCUUAGCCUCUAUAUAGUAAGUCUGAAUAUUAAUGCCUACUUCAUAUAGUUUUUGCAAAGAAGGACUUUGGAGUGCAAAGAAAAAUAAUGACUUUAUUUUAGAAUUAUUUAAAAUACCAGUAGAACAUUUACCACUGAGCUGGAA